This 140-nucleotide ribosomal RNA is filed under the name uncultured eukaryote. Its description in RNAcentral is "partial 18S ribosomal RNA". It matches the Rfam family "Eukaryotic small subunit ribosomal RNA", at positions 1299 to 1458 of the family's 1831-position model. The record is from RNAcentral.
UGGUGGAGUGAUUUGUCUGGUUAAUUCCGUUAACGAACGAGACCCCAGUCUGCAAAAUAAUGGUGUUAAUGUUUUCAUUGGCAGCCAUUUCUUUGAGAGACAUGUAGUUCUUAAACUACAGGAAGAGUGGGGCAAUAACA